GGUAUUAACACAGCGGUUAGUGUAGCGGCCUUGUAAGCCGAAGAAGUGGGUUCGAUUCCUACUGGGAGCACCA
This 73-nucleotide transfer RNA is filed under the name Salmonella phage GEC_vB_MG. RNAcentral's name for it is "tRNA-Thr". The stretch from base 6 to 62 matches the Rfam family "tRNA", at positions 8 to 63 of the family's 71-position model. Rfam says of the family: Transfer RNA (tRNA) molecules are approximately 80 nucleotides in length. The record is from RNAcentral. Lineage: Duplodnaviria; Heunggongvirae; Uroviricota; Caudoviricetes.